GCUUGGUGUAGUGGUUUGAAUAUUGGACUAUGACUCCGGAGACCAGGGUUUGAAUCCCAGCUCAACCA
RNAcentral lists this transfer RNA (68 nucleotides) under Phrynosoma platyrhinos (Desert horned lizard). Its description in RNAcentral is "tRNA-OTHER". It matches the Rfam family "tRNA". Rfam says of the family: Transfer RNA (tRNA) molecules are approximately 80 nucleotides in length. Their secondary structure includes four short double-helical elements and three loops (D, anti-codon, and T loops). Lineage: Eukaryota; Metazoa; Chordata; Lepidosauria; Squamata; Phrynosomatidae. The record is from RNAcentral.